UACGUAGGGUCCAAGCGUUAUCCGGAAUCACUGGGCGUAAAGCGUGCGUAGGCGGAUGUUUAAGUGUAAUGCGAAAUCCUGUGGCUCAACCAUAUGGACUGUAUUGCAUACUGGAUAUCUGGAGGAAUGCAGAGGCAAGUGGAAUUACUGGUGUAGCAGUGAAAUGCGUAGAUAUCAGUAGGAACACCAAUGGCGAAGGCAGCUUGCUGGGCAUUUUCUGACGCUAAGGCACGAAAGCGUGGGGAGCGAACAGG
This 254-nucleotide ribosomal RNA is filed under the name uncultured bacterium. RNAcentral describes it as "partial 16S ribosomal RNA". It matches the Rfam family "Bacterial small subunit ribosomal RNA", at positions 524 to 776 of the family's 1533-position model. The record is from RNAcentral.